CCCAGACGUGGGGGAUAACGUAGGGAAACUUACGCUAAUACCGCAUACGUCCUACGGGAGAAAGCGGGGGAUCGCAAGACCUCGCGCGGUUGGAUGGACCGAUGUGCGAUUAGCUAGUUGGUGAGGUAACGGCUCACCAAGGCGACGAUCGCUAGCUGGUCUGAGAGGAUGAUCAGCCACACUGGGACUGAGACACGGCCCAGACUCCUACGGGAGGCAGCAGUGGGGAAUAUUGGACAAUGGGCGCAAGCCUGAUCCAGCAAUGCCGCGUGUGUGAAGAAGGCCUUCGGGUUGUAAAGCACUUUUAUCAGGAGCGAAAUCUGCAGGGCUAAUACCCAUGCAGUCUGACGGUACCUGAGGAAUAAGCACCGGCUAACUCCGUGCCAGCAGCCGCGGUAAU
This 400-nucleotide ribosomal RNA is filed under the name uncultured bacterium. RNAcentral describes it as "bacterial SSU rRNA". It matches the Rfam family "Bacterial small subunit ribosomal RNA", at positions 129 to 524 of the family's 1533-position model. The record is from RNAcentral.